RNAcentral lists this long non-coding RNA (7681 nucleotides) under Musa acuminata (dwarf banana). RNAcentral describes it as "long non-coding RNA (MACU_LNC009057)". Lineage: Eukaryota; Viridiplantae; Streptophyta; Magnoliopsida; Zingiberales; Musaceae. The record is from RNAcentral.
CGCCCUCGCCCUGGCCGCCGACGUCGUCGGGGUUGGGGCAGUAGUUGCGGGUGGCGUAGAGGCGGUAGGGGCUGGCGUCGCGGGCGAGCCACUGCUCGACGGUGAACUGCUGCUGGCUGCAGCCCAUGUGGGGGCCGGUGGUGGUGACCUCGACGUAGUUACAGUACCAGCCGUGGUGGGGGCCGGAGCCGUCGGAGGUGAGGUUCAUCCAGCACGGCGGCCAGGAGGUUAUGCAGGGCCCGCGGCCGCUGAAGAUGUCGAGGUUGCCGCGCUCGUAGUAGUCGUAGUUGGCGCCCAUGAGGCCGCCCCAGCUCUCCAGGUCCUCGAUCAGCACCCCGACGCCGUCCGACCCCGCCAACGCCAGGCUGAUCACCGAGUCCGUCCCCGCCUUCCAGAUCGACCCCGUCCGUAUGUAGAUAGUGUACACGCACUUGUACUCGUCGUCCUUCCCGGCAACCGCGACCUGUUCGACGAAAUAACAAAGACAAAUAUGAGCCACCAACAACAACAGGAUCUAGGAUGGAUAGCGUGGUGCAUCAAAGGCAUACCUUGACCAGGGAAGGUCUGGUGGCGUGGGAGAUGGUGGCCAAACAGGAGAAGAGGAGGAGGAGGAGGAUGGUCAUCAAGACAUUGUUGACUCCGCCGUUGGCCAUGUUUGCCUCCGCUUUCUCGCGCUAUGGGGGGGGUGGACGAGGAGAUUGGUUUAUAUGCUUACCUACCCUUGCAAAUGCACUGCAUCAAACAGGUCGUGGGCAAAAGGGAAAGGAUAUUCUCGGGAGAUGAGGAUUCUGGGUGUGAUAUGCCGUGGGUGCUAGAUAAGCUAAAGAUGUGGAGGGUGAGGGAAAGCAGAGUUUCUCUUCAGGACCAUAGUGUGCCUGUUUAAUUAAUCCUAACCUAAUUAGUUAUAUAGGUAAAUUUAGUUCAUAUAUUUUUUUACAUGAACACAGCUCAAACAAUAUAAAAGAUUUUUUAGAUUCACCUAAGCAAUUAAUGAAAUUUUUUAUGUUAAAUUGCUUAAAAUUUUAAAUCAAUGAUUAGUCCGAACCAAAUGGAUCAAAAUUAAUAUACAUAAGAUAAGAAAUUAAUUUAGUCUAAAAAUUUAAGCUUAUUAAGUUGGUCUGAUUCCUUCAAAUCCUAGUAAUAUAAGAUUAUUAUUAAUUAUAUUUUUAAUUUUUACCUCGUACAUGAAUAUUUCUUAUGGCAUGUCAAUACUUCGCUUGCAAUUAGUAUAUAAUAUUUAUAUAUGUUCAGUAUGCAAAGUUAGAAGUAAUCAAAAGCAAAUUGAUCUACACGCAUUAAUUACAAAUAUCAUAUAUAGAUAGGAUGCACUAGAAAUAAAUUUCUAAAAUAUUUUUAGCGCAGGUGUUAUAGUUUUGCCUAAGAUGAUUGGGGAUGUUCGACGUGUACUUCCCAAAGUAGUGUCGAGUUCUCGACAUCUUCCCUCCUACAUAAAGGCGUUCAUCGAUAGGGACUCUCGAUAAAGUUCUUUCAGUUACAAAAUCUCAAGGUAUUUUAGAAUAUAACAAGGAUAGACUCUUGUCUCAAGCGUAAUAAUCACGUAUUCUUUUUAUAUUCAAAUCAAAAUUAUCUCUAAAUUAAAAAAAAAGGAGAAUAAUUUUUUUAUACUACAUCCAAAACAUUGAUUAUCAAAUAUACCUACCAAAAAUUAAGAAUUUAAAACCUUAUCAAUAAAUAUUUUUUGGAAGAUAUUAAUUACUUUAGCCAGUAAAGCCCUUGAUUAUUGAUAUCAAGGGAUUAUGGUAAGAUUUACCACUCAAAAUUGUACUAAUUUUUCAUUCCAUCCAAACCCACACAAAAGCCAAUUAUAUUAGUGUUAACAAACUCUCAAACCGUGGUCGAGGUGUUAGCACGGCUCGGUUCGACCCCCUGAUGCGUAGGAUCAUCCGUGCGGUUGGUCAUUGGAUGGCGGCCUUUGUCGAUUCGGGCUGAGCUUGAGGCUUAUCCCCAUAUGCGGUACUCCAUACUGGCAUGUGGUUUUCUUUAUAGUUAGGCUCCUGCACAUAGGCCGAGGUCGAAAGGGUGGUUUCUCGACUUGAUCCCUUUGAAGGUUAGUUAGUAUCGAGCAAAGUUCAGGGGAAUGUCUGUCCUCCCCUCCCUGACAUCGAUUAGUGAGCUUUUAUACCUUCGAGCAAGGGUCAGUCGUACGUGAUCUGAUGAUGAAGAUCAGUUUGUACUUUUGUGUAAGCACUGACUGACCUGCACGGAUCUACACCACGCGGUGUCGUUUUGAGCUUUCUGGAACGACUUUGUACUGUACGACAUUAUCUCAUACGACUUCGAAUGGCAUGGGAAGGGGGCCGCCCUCGUAAGUUCGAGGUGCUACGUGGACACGAUGCUCCAUCUCAACCUUGAGGCUCCAUGUUCGCACUGACGUGUUUGCUGAUUAUGGCCACGGGGGCGAUAUCAAAAUAUGCCCUAUCACAGGUUAUCGUUUAGGACCAUUCUUAGAUAUAUGAGUUUCUCUAUCUACUCAAUUAUCUUUAGGACAUAGUUCUGAACUAGUGUCUCCUUAAUCAUCAUAGCACGGAAGAUGCUCUUCGAUAUCUCAUAUCGUUGAGUCCUUCCCUGUUCCUCAAAUAGUUUACGGACAUGUAGGAGAAUGGAUCUAGCAACCAUCUUUUUAUGUUGUCUCUGUAACUCAGGAGUCAUGGAGCCCAACAUGUAACACCGAGCAAAAGUGAAGUCAUCUAUGUACUUUACAUAGCGAGUGAUCUCAUCCUCGCUUGUCCCUUCCUCGGGCAUAUGCAUCACUAUAUCAAGGACGUAUGCGAUUUUCUCCAUCGUAAGAAUAAUUCUCAAGUUGCAGAUUCAAUCCGUAUAAUUCAGACUAGUGAGGUGGUUGACAUCAAGUAUGCCACGUAAGGGAUUUGAAAACGAUAUUUUCUAAAAAUAAAAAUAUAGCAGAAAUAAAUAAUAUGCAGAUUUCAUAAUAAAAUAAACAAAUAAGAUAUUGACUUCUAUCUGAAUCUACUCCCAUUGUUUUUUCUAACGAGUCAUGCGACACCCUCAGCAUAUGAAACAUAAGUCUUCGACAGACUUUUAGUGCAGAUCGAGAUCCAAUUAGCAUCUUAGUGUAACCUCGAGUGACUCGACCAAUCACAUUAAGCUCAAAAGGUAGGCAACUCUUACUGCUCACAACUCCUUGUGAUUCUUGUCCUGUUCAGCCUCCGAACUACCAUGGUCUUGAGAGACUCGACCAACCAUGAUGUUUGGUUAAGUUAACACCAUUGUUACAAGAUGAGUCUAAUUCGAUGAUAUACCUUCGAGGGACUCGACCAAUCAUGAUGUUUGGUUAAGUCAACACCAUUGUUACAAGAUGAGUCUAAUUCGAUGAUAUACCAUCGAGGGACUUGACCAAGUAUACCAAAUCCUUAGGUCAUCGGUGACAUCUCUAUGCCAUAGGCAAGAUAGUGAAUCACGAUAUAGGUGAGCCUCGAGAAUUGAUCCCUACCUAAAACGAUGGAAGGCAACAUGGGUCAAUCUAAUUGCCUCACAUUUACCGAUUUAAUAUUAUUGAGAAAGGGGAUUUUGAUUUGGUCUCCUAAUAUAACAUGUCACAUACAUACAUAUUUAAUAUAUAUCUACAUCGUAUGCAAAUAUAUAUAUACAUAUCUAGUAGGUGUAUAAGCAAUUACACAUCACAUGAGCAAUCACACCAAAUCAUCAUGGACCAUAACCUAAUAUGAUCAAGCCUAAGCCAAUAGGCCUAAUCACUCACAUCAAGAUCUAUGUGUGCAGUGGUACAUCUCCAUGACUUGUGAUCGUCCAUUUCGUCCUCGUCGGUUCCGUCGGCAUCUCGGUGCAUCGCGAUCUCGUGGGUCCUGCUAUCGCUUCCACGCUCCUACUGCACCUCCUUAUAUGAUUAUAACUUAAUCAUAGGCACGCAGGUCUGAUAAUAAACAAGAAAUAAAGUGGUGGCUCAUAGGUCCCAAUAAUAAUAAUAAUCAUAAGUACACACAUCACACGGUCCAUGAUCAUCCAUCCACAUCAUACAUUACAUGUAAAUAUCAUUAUGUAGGACUACUAGAUAAUAUUAAUAGUUAAUUAAAUUUUUUAAUUAACUAAUAUUUUUUUGAAUUUAGGGACAUAUAGGAAUUUUUUUAAAUUAUGAUGGGUAUUUUUAUAAUUUGAACAAAAGGAUAGAAUUCAGAAUUUCUAAAAUUUCUAGGGGUAAAACUAUCUUUUGACCAAAAACCCUAACCCUCUUUCCCUAUUCUGCAUUGUGGCAGCCACUAUGCCGAGAGGAGGGGGCGCCCUUAUAGGUGGUUUUGCCCGCGGGCGGCUCUACUCGUGGGCGUAAUGUCGGUAGGCGCCACUAUCCCUAUAGGAAUCAUUGUCCAUGUGACUCCUCUGCUCGCGGGUGCAACACCCACAGGCGUCGCUACCCCCACGACUUCCUCUGAUCGCGGGCACAGCUCCCUCAAGCAUUGCUGACCUUAUGGCUGCCUACUUGCGGCCCGGAUGCUGCUAGCCGUAGGCGACCGACUACUGCCCGCUAGCCACCUGCGGUCAACUACUGCCCUCUAGCCACCUGCACGCAGGUGGCCAAGCCUCGGCCAAGGCUACAAGCAGCCAUUAGCUAACCUGCGAGGGCAGUAAUUGUUGCCCUCUCUCACCUUUUGUGUCAACGAUUUUGACGACAAAAGUCUUUCUAAAACACAAUACACGUAGUUCAAAACCAAUCUUUCGCAUAAACAACCUGACUCUAAUACCACUAUUGGGAAAUCUAGGGGCAAUAUCACAUAUGUAGCAGAAGAAUAGAAAAUAAAAAUUCCUAAAUUUCCAAAUGAUGUGUUUGCCGUCAUGCGAAGAUUGGUGCGCAAAAUCCACAAAACUGAAAUCUACGUAUAUGAAAGAUUAUGUAUUACCUAGGGAGAUCGUAUAUCCCUAAAUUCUUGUAGAUAUAUAGGAGAAGAUGAAGGAAGUCAAGCUUUCUCCUCUCUAGCGGUGAUUCACAUAGCACGACUUUGACAAGCUUCUAAAAUCUCUAGGCCUGCUAUCUAAGGAGGAGAAGGGGAGAGGAGAAGGAGAGAUGACAACCAAGAGAAGCUCUAGCCUUGCCUUUGGUUUCCUCCUAUUUAUAGAGGCCCUCUAUCAAUUUAACCAUAAUGGAUCUUGCUCUAUUAGAUACUGGAUCUUCAUCAAACUAUCCAAACCUCUUAGAUUAGUGGAUCUUUAUCCAAUAAUCUCUCAUUGGCUCUUAUUGGAUCUCAUCCAUAUGAUCCAAUAAUUUAGGAGCUUAUUAGAUAUCCAAUAAGAUAGGGGCUUUGGUGAAUAUCUCAUAUCCAAACCUCUACUCAUCGUAACGCCUACCAUAUGUAUAUGACUCUCUAGGCCUAAUAUCGACCUAAUUGUGAGUCAUACCUAUAAGAACUUCUUCUGGCUCAGUGAAUUAUUAUCUCUAUAAUAAUUCACUUGACUUAUCGAUUGUAAGCGUACUAGGCCACUACGUCAUAGUCCCUAGACGAUACAGGGGAAUCCAAUUCAUUGGACUUGUCUGUCCUCAGUUACCAUAUACCUAUAGUUAUGCAUCCAUCUAAUAUCCCAGAGAUUGUAUACCGGGCAUUGUGUUGUCAAACCCAUGCGAUUUCUACUCGAGUCUCGCUCUAAUCGGAUUCUCCUAAAGAACUCUUUCUCUCAAUCCGAAUAUUCAUGGCUAGGGAUUUUUCUGAGCAAGAACAUAUAAGAUAUUCCUCUCAUGAUACUAAGAGUGGAUGAUCCUCUAUCAACACUCAAUAGUCCUCGUAAGGUUGGCUGCCACUCUCGAUGACCGGUUGUGCUAGAUCUAAAAUUUUCAAACCUAUAAGUCCAGUAUCAAAGAGUGGAGUACUCAUACGAGAUAUCAUUGGUAUCUCAAGUCUAAGGACUAAGUACACCAUUGGGACAAUGAAAUGACUAUCUGAUAAUGAGGUACCAUUAACCAUUGAGCAUUCCGUGAGUGGAUCAAUCAGUGAACUCAUUCUCCAAUGAGCACCUGCACUAUAUCCCUAGUGUCUCCAUACGAGCAACUAUAAGAGUAGUCGCGUCUAUCAUAUGUAUAGGUAUAUAGUACACCAGUCUGUCCGAUUUUCUCGAUAUUUCUCUCGAGUAACCUAUGAUCGGGAUUAUUUAGGAUAUAUGUUUAAAGGAGAAUCAGUCUUAUUAUCGUGAUUUCAUCAUGAUCCAAUUUUCAUUGCACAGAUUCAUGGACAUCACAAUAUACAACAAGCAAUAUAAAGUGAUAAAAUACUAAAUAAUAAUAAUAGAUAAAAAGAUUACAUGUCAAGUCACACAUGCCAUACUCACGUGAUUAGCUUGUAGGGCACUUAUAACUAGUAGUACUGCCUCGGUCUCUAGGCUAAGCUGAACGAUGACUCCCCUAAGGCAAUCUUGGGAGUAGUCCGAGAUGCCCACAGAACGCUCAGGAGCUCCUUGACCUAAGCGCCGCAAGCCUUGACUAUCCUCUUCUUCAAGCCUUCCAGAAUUGCUUAGUUGGUGACCUUGGCCAAGCCAUUGGUUUAAGGGUGUGAAACCAAGCUGAAUUUCAAUCAUAUCCCGUAGUAUUGAUAGUAUGCUUUGAAUUUCGUGUUGUUAAAUUGAGCUCCGUUGUCAGUGACGAUGGCCCUCGGGAUCUCGAAUCAGGUGAUGAUGUUUUUCCAAACGAACCUCUUGACCUACUUCUCGAUGAUGGAGACCAACGACUGAGCCUUAACCCAUUUGGUGAGGAAUCUUCGUUGCCCCGAAGUAAGGGGAAAAGGUCUGAGGAGGUCCAUACCCCAUUAGGCGAAAGGCCAAGUGGUGUCUAUCGAGGUGAGAGAAACCGUGGGCUGAUGUUGUAUCCCGGCAUGCUUCUGGUAUUACUGACAUCGUUGUAUGUAUGACAAGGCAUCUCUGUGCAUGGUUGGCCAGUAAUACCCAUGUCUGAGAAUUUUGAAAGCCAAGGUUUAGCCACCGAUGUGUUCCCCACAGACAUCUUCAUAAACUUCAACAAGGAUUGUCUUGGCUUCAGGGGGCGCCAAGCAAAGAAUGAGAGAUUGGGAGAAGGCUCUUUGAUAUAGCUUGCCGUUGAUUUCAUAGUACCAUGCCUGGGUCUGUUUGAGUCGACGAGCGGUGGCUGGGUCAUCGGGCAACGUUCCUGUUGGGAAAUCUAGGGGCGACAUCACAUGCAUAACGGAUGAACAGAAAACAAAAAUCCUAAAUUUCCCAAAAGGUGUUCAUUGUCGUACAAAAAUUGGUGCAUAAAAUCUAUAACAUAGAAAACCACAUGUGAGAUAGUUGUGUUACCUAGCAAGAUCAUAUAUCCUUGAAUCCCUACAGAUCUGUAGGAGUGAAUGAAGGAGAUCAAGCGUACUCCUCUCUAGCGGUGAUUCAUAUAGCAGGGUUGCAACGAUGCUUUUCAAAUCUCUAGGCCUACUAUCUGAGGAGUAGAAGGAGAGAGGAGAAGAGAAGGUGGCUACUAAGAAGCCCCAACCUAUGGUCCUUUAGUUCCCUCGUAUUUAUAUAGGCCCCCAGUUAACCCUAAUGGAUCUUGCCUUCUUGGGUAUUGGAUCUCCAUCCAAUUACCCAAGCCUAUUUGAUUAGUGGGUCUCUACCCAAUAAUAUAUUAUUAGCUCUUAUUGGAUCUCAUCCAUGGAAUCUAAUAAUUCAGGGGCUUAUUGGAUAUCCAAUAAGAUAGGGGCUC